RNAcentral lists this non-coding RNA (213 nucleotides) under Lepisosteus oculatus (spotted gar). RNAcentral describes it as "Eukaryotic large subunit ribosomal RNA". It matches the Rfam family "Eukaryotic large subunit ribosomal RNA", at positions 2414 to 2822 of the family's 3401-position model. Lineage: Eukaryota; Metazoa; Chordata; Actinopteri; Semionotiformes; Lepisosteidae. The record is from Rfam by way of RNAcentral.
UGUUAUGCUUGAAAGUUAUUUCUGGGAAUCAAAUUGCAAAGUCGAUGUCAUAAAGGAAGCUCAGGGAGGACAGAAGUCUCCUGAGGGACAGAAGGGCAAAAGCUCACUUGAUCCUCAUUUCAUCUCACUAAGAAUACAGACCAUGAGAAUGAAGCCUCAUAAUCCUUCUGGCUUUUUGAGGUCUAAGCAGGAAGCAUAAAAAAAGUUACUACA